This 1311-nucleotide long non-coding RNA is filed under the name Physcomitrium patens. RNAcentral's name for it is "long non-coding RNA (PPAT_LNC012226)". Lineage: Eukaryota; Viridiplantae; Streptophyta; Bryopsida; Funariales; Funariaceae. The record is from RNAcentral.
UUUAAUGCGUUCGGCAUCGAUGGGGUUUGCGUCUCGGAUUAAGUUGCCCAAACCAUCCUCCUCCAGCAAGGGAUUGGCUCCGAUGAUAGGGAGAUCAGCACUGAAAAUUCAACGGUGAUUCUCUUGCAAUUGCCCUUCGAUGGUCCCCUCCCAGAAUUGCAACUUACUGUGUCAAUGAGUCCCGUCCGACGCAUCGCACAAUGAACUUAAUAAUCACCAAAUUCUCGGUACUCAGCUCGUGAGGGCAGCGUCGCCCCUUCACAAUCGGAAGGAGGAUGUUGUGAGCUUUCGGAGGGGUUUUGGAUAGACCCUUGAAAGUUGCUGUGACGUGUGAUCCUUGGUUGGAAUUUUUGAUAACUAUGGCUUGCUUCCUAAUCCCCGUAGACUGUGCAAGGUGGGUGUGCAACCAUGCAGGCUGAUUCAACCCCUGGGGCCUUGUUCACAUUCCCCCGUCGUAUCGUUGGAGCCCUUUCUCAACGUUGUAAACCUUUCCGUCUGGUCCUUUGCCGGGCUUGUGAUAGGAGUAUCGCCUACUUUGGCACGAAUCCUGCUAAUUCCAGGUGUGCCGACUCCACUAACCCUCCGGUAUUUCUUUUUUUAAAGACGGAAAAUUGUUUGGAAAAUAGGGUUAAAAUAGGAAUAAGAAAAGGGUAGCAUACGGCACGAAUAGCUGAAUGGUCAGCAAGGGAGUUGGAAAGUGAAAAAAGGAGAAAUGCAAUGUUCCUGCUAGUGCGAGAUGUGAUUCCCGAAGUGAUUCAAACCUCCAACUCUUCACCAACAUUAGACAUCAGCUUACAACAUCACAACAUGAACUAUUGAAACAAAACAAGUUGAAGGGCUUCGGUGUGGUCGAACUCUUGGAAAACAGCAGGUGCGCAAUCACACUCCUUUCAGUUACUCAGACUAUGGCAACAUUCUCAAACACCAAAUUGCAAAGAAAACCCUAAAAGGGCAAAUCACAUCAGCCAUCACAUUAAAAUCUUGUUUAAGACGUGCCGGUGCUGGUGUCGGUAAGUAUAGGGACAAGUUCACUUCGAGCCCUAAUCCACGACCCCUUUUGCAGAAUGGCUUCACAACACAACUUCUAUCAACCUUCCAGAUGGGGCCUCUCAUUGCGUACCCAAAUUUACUCUGCAAACUUUUAUUUACCUUUUUUUAUGGGUAACAGUUAACAGGAUCAAUAACUACUGCAUUCGUAACAUUGACUUAUCAAACUAUUAGCAAAUUGAUAGGAAUUAUUUUAAGUUUGUAUUAAUUAGAAGUUUGUUUCAAGUAAUAAAUGUUACAUGCCUUGGCAUGUGAUUUGAUCAC